Molecule: long non-coding RNA, 216 nt
Filed under: Lathyrus oleraceus (garden pea)
Lineage: Eukaryota; Viridiplantae; Streptophyta; Magnoliopsida; Fabales; Fabaceae
Description: Pisum sativum (pea) long non-coding RNA (PSAT_LNC038959)
Source: RNAcentral
GAAAUUCUAAGACUCUCCAAGACCAACCAUAGAUGCAAGGUGUGCUUAUUUAGAAUCUCAUAUUAGAUAAAAGGUGGUUUAAACUUAUGUUUAUAAAUUGACAAUCCUAACCUUAUAAAGUUAAUUUAGGUCAAACUGAAAUUCUAAGAUAAAUAUUACUACUUAACUCCAUCUCAGGUUCGAAUCAAGUUUUUUUCUCUAUCAAAAAAUUAUUUU